RNAcentral lists this long non-coding RNA (408 nucleotides) under Mytilus galloprovincialis (Mediterranean mussel). The record is from RNAcentral. Lineage: Eukaryota; Metazoa; Mollusca; Bivalvia; Mytilida; Mytilidae.
AUUCACAAAUGUGCAACAUAUUAAAAUAUUAUGGUUGAGACUAAGAGUUUUGAAAAUCCAAAUAUGAAACCAGGAACUAAAAUUCUAAAGGGCAUAGAUGAAACAUGUAUGAGCGUCUAAUGUCAGUCUGAACCUAGAGAUUGUUUACUUCAGAUUCAAUACAAAUAAUCAAUUUGAAAGAUCUGAAAUUAUUAGACACAAACUAUUCAAUCUUGUCAGUAUAAAACUGGAAAUUAUUGGACAGGUUGAAUUGUAUUAUGGGAACUGAUAAUCAACCAAUAGAAGGACUAAACUAUUGUCAGUAAAACAAUUUUUACACUGCAUAAUGUAAUUUUUGUUUUUACACAUGAUUCUUCAUUCAUCAUGUAUUCUUGUAAUAAUCCACUUAUAUAAUAAAUCAUCACCACA